Ceratitis capitata (Mediterranean fruit fly) is the source of this 549-nucleotide long non-coding RNA. RefSeq lists it as uncharacterized. The record is from RefSeq and is a predicted model, not a curated record. NCBI's taxonomy places the organism in Eukaryota, Metazoa, Arthropoda, Insecta, Diptera, Tephritidae. The transcript is spliced from 4 exons.
ACAGCAAUAAAUCUUUAGAAAAUUUUUAAUACGCAUUUAAGUCUAAACACACGAUAUCAAUUUGAGCCAAUUCUACUGUUUAAAUAGUGAUAAAAGCAUAGUCAUCACGUGAUGUCAAUGAUAUAUAAAGAAUACGCCAGACACUUUUAUUGAUGGCUUUCGUGUGUUGGAAUGCAAUGCCGGUCUCAUUGAUUAGAAUUGAUUAGCAGGAUAUGAAAGUAAACAAUUUACAUUUAUGCAGUGAAUCUCAAAUUUAAAUAUGAACAAGAAGAAGAUAUUUUGGAAAUCAUUUAAGAAAAAAACUUUGCAAUAACUCCUAAUGCGGAAAUGUUCAGUCCCGGUAAAAAGGAAGGCACCAUAACCAAAAUGACGGUAGAGCUUUGCAGUUUCUCCAAUUUCCCAUACCAAAUACAUCAUUAUUAUGCAUUAAGAGAAAUUAUAAAUCGAAAACUUCUGCCCACACUGAAAUACGCCAUGAGAUAAUAGCACUGUUCGUUGAGAAAUUUCAGUAUGAAUUACAAUAUAUGUAUAGUAACGAAAUGUCAAAAA